RNAcentral lists this ribosomal RNA (460 nucleotides) under uncultured bacterium. RNAcentral describes it as "partial 16S ribosomal RNA". It matches the Rfam family "Bacterial small subunit ribosomal RNA", at positions 338 to 795 of the family's 1533-position model. The record is from RNAcentral.
CCUACGGGUGGCAGCAGUGAGGAAUAUUGGUCAAUGGACGAGAGUCUGAACCAGCCAAGUAGCGUGAAGGAUGACUGCCCUAUGGGUUGUAAACUUCUUUUAUAUGGGAAUAAAAUGUUCCACGUGUGGGAUUUUGUAUGUACCAUAUGAAUAAGGAUCGGCUAACUCCGUGCCAGCAGCCGCGGUAAUACGGAGGAUCCGAGCGUUAUCCGGAUUUAUUGGGUUUAAAGGGAGCGUAGGUGGGUUGUUAAGUCAGUUGUUAAAGUUUGCGGCUCAACCGUAAAAUUGCAUUUGAAACUGUAAGACUUGAGUACAGUAGAGGUAGGCGGAAUACGUGGAGUAGCGGUGAAAUGCUUAGAUAUAACGAAGAACUCCGAUAGCGAAGGCAGUUCACUAGACUGCAACUGACACUGAGGCUCGAAAGUGUGGGUAGCAAACAGGAUUAGAUACCCUAGUAGUC